GACGAACGCUGGCGGCGUGCUUAACACAUGCAAGUCGAACGAAGAGCGAUGGAAGCUUGCUUCUAUCAAUCUUAGUGGCGAACGGGUGAGUAACGCGUAAUCAACCUGCCCUUCAGAGGGGGACAACAGUUGGAAACGACUGCUAAUACCGCAUACGAUCUAAUCUCGGCAUCGAGGAUAGAUGAACGGUGGCCUCUACAUGUAAGCUAUCACUGAAGGAGGGGAUUGCGUCUGAUUAGCUAGUUGGAGGGGUAACGGCCCACCAAGGCGAUGAUCAGUAGCCGGUCUGGGAGGAUGAACGGCCACAUUGGGACUGAGACACGGCCCAGACUCCUACGGGAGGCAGCAGGGGGGAAUCUUCCGAAAGGGGCGAAAGUCUGACGGAGCAACGCCGCGUGAGUGAUGACGGCCUUCGGGUUGUAAAGCUCGGUUAAUCGGGACGAAAGGCCUUCUUGCGAAUAGUGAGAAGGAUUGACGGUACCGGAAGAGAAAGCCACGGCUAACUACGUG
This 510-nucleotide ribosomal RNA is filed under the name uncultured bacterium. Its description in RNAcentral is "partial 16S ribosomal RNA". It matches the Rfam family "Bacterial small subunit ribosomal RNA", at positions 28 to 507 of the family's 1533-position model. The record is from RNAcentral.